GAUUGAACGCUGGCGGCAUGCCUUACACAUGCAAGUCGAACGGCAGCACGGGAGCAAUCCUGGUGGCGAGUGGCGAACGGGUGAGUAAUAUAUCGGAACGUGCCCAGUCGUGGGGGAUAACGUAGCGAAAGCUACGCUAAUACCGCAUACGAUCUAUGGAUGAAAGCGGGGAUCGCAAGACCUCGCGCGAUUGGAGCGGCCGAUAUCAGAUUAGGUAGUUGGUGAGGUAAAGGCUCACCAAGCCGACGAUCUGUAGCUGGUCUGAGAGGACGACCAGCCACACUGGGACUGAGACACGGCCCAGACUCCUACGGGAGGCAGCAGUGGGGAAUUUUGGACAAUGGGCGCAAGCCUGAUCCAGCAAUGCCGCGUGCAGGAUGAAGGCCUUCGGGUUGUAAACUGCUUUUGUACGGAACGAAACGGUGAGCUCUAAUACAGUUUGCUAAUGACGGUACCGUAAGAAUAAGCACCGGCUAACUACGUG
RNAcentral lists this ribosomal RNA (484 nucleotides) under uncultured bacterium. RNAcentral's name for it is "bacterial SSU rRNA". It matches the Rfam family "Bacterial small subunit ribosomal RNA", at positions 27 to 507 of the family's 1533-position model. The record is from RNAcentral.